AAACCUGAGAAACCCGAAAGAUCGAAUGGGGAGAUUCAUCGUCAGCGAUUCCGGUGCGUGUGCGGUUCGCGAUGUCUGAGACCUCGGUCUCGCGGCACGGUCCGUAUGUUUUUAUUGCUGGAAUCGUCGGCGUGCACUUCUCCCCUAGUAGGACGUCGCGACCCGUUGGGUGUCGGUCUACGGCACGGUAGGGUAGCCUGUCACGUGUGCGCUUCACGGCGUUACGCGGGGCAGACCUCCGUUCGCCCGACACGGACCAAGGAGAUGUGCGCGAGUCAUUGGGAGCUGACAUACGAACUGCGUCCGGCCCGUCGCAAGCGCGGCGAGUGUCCCGGCUGUACGGAUCCAAUGCCGUCACCGAGCCUCGCCAGCUGUUGGCUGACGGUGUCCUAGGACUGGCUAGCUGAUACCGGUCGGCGACGCUACUGCUUUGGGUACUUUCAGGACCCGUCUUGAAACACGGACCAAGGAGUCUAACAUGUGCGCGAGUCAUUGGGAGCUAUUAAGCCUAAAGGCGCAAUGAAAGUGAAGAUCGGCCUCGCGCCGAUCGAGGGAGGAUGGGCCGCGUCACGAUGCGGUCCCGCACUCCCGGGGCGUCUCGUUCUCAU
Molecule: ribosomal RNA, 608 nt
Filed under: Tricholabus strigatorius coreanus
Lineage: Eukaryota; Metazoa; Arthropoda; Insecta; Hymenoptera; Ichneumonidae
Description: eukaryotic LSU rRNA
Rfam family: Eukaryotic large subunit ribosomal RNA
Source: RNAcentral